AAGGCCUAACACAUGCAAGUCGAACGUGAAGCAGGAGCUUGCUCCUGUGGAAAGUGGCAGACGGGUGAGUAACGCGUGGGAAUCUACCCAGCUCUACGGAAUAACGCAGGGAAACUUGUGCUAAUACCGUAUACGUCCUCCGGGAGAAAGAUUUAUCGGAGUUGGAUGAGCCCGCGUUAGAUUAGUUUGUUGGUGGGGUAACGGCCUACCAAGACUACGAUCUAUAGCUGGUCUGAGAGGAUGAUCAGCCACACUGGGACUGAGACACGGCCCAGACUCCUACGGGAGGCAGCAGUGGGGAAUAUUGCACAAUGGGCGCAAGCCUGAUGCAGCCAUGCCGCGUGAGUGAAGAAGGCCUUAGGGUUGUAAAACUCUUUCAUCGGUGAAGAUAAUGACGGUAGCCGAAGAAGAAGCCCCGGCUAACUCCGUGCCAGCAGCCGCGGUAAUACGGAGGGGGCGAGCGUUGUUCGGAAUUACUGGGCGUAAAGCGCACGUAGGCGGAUUGGUCAGUUGGGGGUGAAAUCCCGAGGCUUAACCUCGGAACUGCCCUCAAUACUGCCAAUCUAGAGAUCGGAAGAGGUAAGUGGAAUUCCUAGUGUAGAGGUGAAAUUCGUAGAUAUUAGGAAGAACACCAGUGGCGAAGGCGGCUUACUGGUCCGAUACUGACGCUGAGGUGCGAAAGCGUGGGGAGCAAACAGGA
This 700-nucleotide ribosomal RNA is filed under the name uncultured bacterium. RNAcentral's name for it is "bacterial SSU rRNA". It matches the Rfam family "Bacterial small subunit ribosomal RNA", at positions 43 to 777 of the family's 1533-position model. The record is from RNAcentral.